CCCUCCUCUCUCUCAUUGAUUGGGUACUGGAGCUCUGCCUAGGACCUAGCCGUGGAUCUCUGCAUCUGCUUCCAUCAGUCACUGGAUAAAGAGGGUUAGAUGGCAUGGUGACAGAGUGAUGGUGUGGUGGCAGAAGUAAAAAGGUGCUCAAGGAAGAAGAGUGAUCAGAACUUCUACAACCAGAGUUAUAGGCAGUUUUGGGUAGCAUGUAGUGGGUGUUUGGAAAUGAACUCCAGUUAUCUGCAACAGCAGCAAGUACUUUUAAAUCCUGGACCAUCUCUCCAGGAUCAAUGGAAUAUAUUAGUCUCAACAAA
Non-coding RNA from Peromyscus maniculatus bairdii (prairie deer mouse), 314 nucleotides. NCBI's taxonomy places the organism in Eukaryota, Metazoa, Chordata, Mammalia, Rodentia, Cricetidae. The record is from RefSeq and is a predicted model, not a curated record.